This 200-nucleotide ribosomal RNA is filed under the name uncultured bacterium. RNAcentral's name for it is "partial 16S ribosomal RNA". It matches the Rfam family "Bacterial small subunit ribosomal RNA", at positions 8 to 205 of the family's 1533-position model. The record is from RNAcentral.
AGAGUUUGAUCCUGGCUCAGAUUGAACGCUGGCGGCAUGCCUUACACAUGCAAGUCGAACGGCAGCACGGGUGCUUGCACCUGGUGGCGAGUGGCGAACGGGUGAGUAAUACAUCGGAACAUGUCCAGUAGUGGGGGAUAGCCCGCGAAAGCCGGGAUUAAUACCGCAUACGCUCUGUGGAGGAAAGCGGGGGAUCGAAA